This 497-nucleotide ribosomal RNA is filed under the name uncultured bacterium. Its description in RNAcentral is "partial 16S ribosomal RNA". It matches the Rfam family "Bacterial small subunit ribosomal RNA", at positions 28 to 507 of the family's 1533-position model. The record is from RNAcentral.
GAUGAACGCUGGCGGCGUGCCUAAUACAUGCAAGUCGAGCGAACGGACGAGAAGCUUGCUUUUCUGAUGUUAGCGGCGGACGGGUGAGUAACACGUGGAUAACCUACCCAUAAGACUGGGAUAACUUCGGGAAACCGGAGCUAAUACCGGAUAAUAUUUUGAACCGCAUGGUUCAAAAGUGAAAGACGGUCUUGCUGUCACUUAUAGAUGGAUCCGCGCUGCAUUAGCUAGUUGGUAAGGUAACGGCUUACCAAGGCAACGAUGCAUAGCCGACCUGAGAGGGUGAUCGGCCACACUGGAACUGAGACACGGUCCAGACUCCUACGGGAGGCAGCAGUAGGGACUCUUCCGCAAUGGGCGAAAGCCUGACGGAGCAACGCCGCGUGAGUGGUGAAGGUCUUCGGAUCGUAAAACUCUGUUAUUAGGGAAGAACAUAUGUGUAAGUAACUGUGCACAUCUUGACGGUACCUAAUCAGAAAGCCACGGCUAACUACGUG